AUUGAACGCUGGCGGCAUGCCUUACACAUGCAAGUCGAACGGCAGCACGGGAGCAAUCCUGGUGGCGAGUGGCGAACGGGUGAGUAAUAUAUCGGAACGUGCCCAGUCGUGGGGGAUAACGUAGCGAAAGCUACGCUAAUACCGCAUACGAUCUAUGGAUGAAAGCGGGGGAUCGCAAGACCUCGCGCGAUUGGAGCGGCCGAUAUCAGAUUAGGUAGUUGGUGAGGUAAAGGCUCGCCAAGCCGACGAUCUGUAGCUGGUCUGAGAGGACGACCAGCCACACUGGGACUGAGACACGGCCCAGACUCCUACGGGAGGCAGCAGUGGGGAAUUUUUGGGACAAUGGGCGCAAGCCUGAUCCAGCAAUGCCGCGUGCAGGAUGAAGGCCUU
RNAcentral lists this ribosomal RNA (390 nucleotides) under uncultured bacterium. RNAcentral's name for it is "bacterial SSU rRNA". It matches the Rfam family "Bacterial small subunit ribosomal RNA", at positions 30 to 418 of the family's 1533-position model. The record is from RNAcentral.